Long non-coding RNA from Hordeum vulgare subsp. vulgare (domesticated barley), 1062 nucleotides. RefSeq lists it as uncharacterized. The record is from RefSeq and is a predicted model, not a curated record. Lineage: Eukaryota; Viridiplantae; Streptophyta; Magnoliopsida; Poales; Poaceae. The transcript has 2 exons.
UAUUAAAACCGCAAUCCUAUUUUAAGUGGCUAUCUCAGGAAAAAUGUUUCAUUUCCUUUUAAAAUAACCUAACACUUUGUAAUAUUGAAUCCGUGGGAGUCGAAAUCCGAGCCCCCCCACUAGGGCGACUCGGGUGGCGGGGCGUCUCUCCUGCGCAGCGGUCGCCCCCUCCCCUUUCCAUCCCUCGCCACCUCCCGUAAGCCUCCACAGGGAUCCGGCGGCGGCGAGGCCUCUAGCGCGCUAGAGCGAUGAGGCUGCGAGCGGGGGCUCGGGCGGCGACGGCGGCGGCGCGAUGCUCUUCACGUGCGUCUUUCAUGCUCUUGGACGUGGGGGGCAGCGGUUCUUGGCGCGUCUCGUGCUCUGGCCGUAUGUUGGGGAACGAGGCGAGCUGAAGGUCGAGUGUGGCCGCGGCGGCAGCGAUCUCCGGCCAUACCCGUUCGAGGAGGUGUGGCAAGGGUCGGAUCCAUAUCCGGGGGACAACGUGAAGGCGAUCUAGGAGGCGCGACAGGGGAUAGAUCCAUAUCCGGGGACAACAUGGAGACGAUCUAGGAGGCGUGAGAGGAGGUCCAGUUACGAGGCUUGAACUCCAAGUUCCGAGCAAGAUGACAAGCUCUGGCGGAGUCUCCCCAUGGACACAAAGUCUCCUACAUGAGCUCUCGAGAGUGCACCAAGAAAGAGAGAUGAGAGAGAGAGAUGGAAGGAAUAAGGAAAUGAAGGAGACUUCGGGAAGGGGCGACGGGAUCGUGCGAGGCUAGGUUGGAGCCCAAUGGUAGCUUGCUCCUGUGGUGCUACUUGUGUUGUUGGACGGCGACCAUGGGACAAGUACAUAGGUAAGAGGAAAAACAUAUGCUCCAUCGAAACGUUUGAUGCACAACAUCCAUCACCUAGUUAUUGAGGGCACGCAUCGGAUGUGCAUAUCAGCACCAAUGCCGAGCAAUUCGGUGGCGAACGCCAUGUGGAGGCGCACGUGAUGAUGGUAAUAUGAGCUUUCUCAUUUGUUUUGCCUUCAACAUCCUGCCCGGAAGGUUGUGGGGGCUCUACUUUUAUUGUGGAUGCAUUACA